CUUUCCUACGGGAGGCAGCAGUGAGGAAUAUUGGUCAAUGGGAGAGAUCCUGAACCAGCCAAGCCGCGUGAGGGAAGACGGCCCUAUGGGUUGUAAACCUCUUUUGUCGGAGAACAAAACCCGGGACGUGUCCCGGACUGCGUGUAUCCGAAGAAAAAGCAUCGGCUAACUCCGUGCCAGCAGCCGCGGUAAUACGGAGGAUGCGAGCGUUAUCCGGAUUUAUUGGGUUUAAAGGGUGCUUAGGCGUUCCGUUAAGUCAGCGGUAGAAUUGCGGGGAUAAACCCCGUC
This 288-nucleotide ribosomal RNA is filed under the name uncultured bacterium. RNAcentral describes it as "partial 16S ribosomal RNA". It matches the Rfam family "Bacterial small subunit ribosomal RNA", at positions 334 to 619 of the family's 1533-position model. The record is from RNAcentral.